Non-coding RNA from Rattus norvegicus (Norway rat), 562 nucleotides. The record is from RefSeq and is a predicted model, not a curated record. NCBI's taxonomy places the organism in Eukaryota, Metazoa, Chordata, Mammalia, Rodentia, Muridae.
AGAAUUUCAAGAGUAUCUUUUCUUACUCAUGUUACUUCCCUGUAAGCCCCGCCCCCAGCCCCCACCCCAACUCCGUGCCUCCAUCACUCUGAAAUGGUAACAUAGAGAUAUGAAUCAUGGACAACACAGUUCCUUUCAUUUCGGAUCUUCAAUACUGCCAUUGCGUUAAUUGGGGGCCUUUCGAGUUAGACAAGUGACUCAAGCUGACUGUGACAGCUCACACAAUGCAAAGCCAUAGGAGGAACACACUAGGGACUGGAGAGAUGGCCUAGCGGCAAGAGCACUUACCGUUCUUGAAGAAAACCUGGUGCGGUUCCCAGCACACAAGACGGCUCACACCCAUCUGCACCUCCAGGGUCAGAGAGUCCCAUGCUAUCUUUGACCUCUGCUCUCACCGCACACACAUGGCACACCUACGUACACUCAGGCACAGGAGUAUAUGCAUUAGAUAAAUUAAUUUUAAAAAUACCCGAUUUUAUUUCUCCAUGUUGUCCCUGCCAUCUGAUAUGAACCUCUUCCAAGAAGAUCACAUAUUUUUCACAAAUUAAAUAAUAUAACCACA